ACUGUGCCUGGGCAUUGUCUGGAGGACACAGGAUGACACAUUUAAACACUGUGGACGGGCACUGAGCAUCAGACAAGCCCCGGCACUGCCUUUAUUCCCAUUUCCAGCACACCUGUUAAACCAGGACUGUGGAACCAGGUCUCCAUGGAUCAGGAAUUAGUCAGAAAGGGUCAGAGAAGCAAAGAUAAAGCACAGUUACUCAGUUUAGAACUCUUUGGGGUAUCUGCACGUUGAAUACUUUAAUUUUAAAAAGGUAAGAGUGGGAAGGUUCAGGAAAGGGCACUAAGAUUCAUCAAAGAUCGUGGAAUUGGAGAAUAUCCCGAGCUGGAAGGGACCCACAAGGAUGUCAUUGACUCAUUUAGGUUGGAAAGGACCUCCAAGGUCAUUGAGUCCAAGCUUUGACCCAUCACCACCUCAUCAACCCACCCAGAGCACUGAGUGCCACAUCCAGUCAUUCCUUGGACACCUCCAGGGGUGAAUCAUCAAGCCCAACUCCCAAAACGCUGCUGAAGCCCGGGAUUGAACCAGGGACCUUUAGAUCUUCAGUCUAACGCUCUCCCAGCUGAGCUACUUCAGCCCUGAAGUGAGGAUCCCUUUCCCUGUGACGAACAGGCAGACCCACCAGGACAGCCUGGAAAAAGGCACUUUUUAGGGAGAGAGCUUGUUUCAAGCCAAAUACCUGUGGGUCGACCUUCCUACAUCUUCUCAGGGCAGUCCAGGACACAGGACUGGGAAAAAACAGCUGAAGGAACUAAAGAAAAACCCCUUUCUAUCACUAUUUUUGCUGAUGCCUUUGAAUUAAAAACCAUGUCCCUGUUUCACAGACUCAGACUGGUUGAGGUCAG
Long non-coding RNA from Chiroxiphia lanceolata (lance-tailed manakin), 845 nucleotides. RefSeq lists it as uncharacterized. NCBI's taxonomy places the organism in Eukaryota, Metazoa, Chordata, Aves, Passeriformes, Pipridae. The record is from RefSeq and is a predicted model, not a curated record. The transcript is spliced from 3 exons.